GUUUUCAUCUGGCAGGGGAGACACCAUGAUCACGAAGGUGGUUUUCCCAGGGUGAGGCUCCUCCAUUGCACUCUGUGUGUGUUGACCUCCACAAUUUCCCCAAAUACAGGAAGCUCAACUGCAUAAUUUGUGGUUUUGAACAGCCUGUCUUCAGACUCUUUUGCU
This is a small nuclear RNA of Sceloporus undulatus (fence lizard), 165 nucleotides long. RefSeq annotates it as U1 spliceosomal RNA. The transcript has a single exon. The record is from RefSeq and is a predicted model, not a curated record. NCBI's taxonomy places the organism in Eukaryota, Metazoa, Chordata, Lepidosauria, Squamata, Phrynosomatidae.